RNAcentral lists this long non-coding RNA (1122 nucleotides) under Ornithorhynchus anatinus (platypus). Its description in RNAcentral is "lncRNA (ENSOANG00000048404.1)". Lineage: Eukaryota; Metazoa; Chordata; Mammalia; Monotremata; Ornithorhynchidae. The record is from RNAcentral.
CCGUGGACCACUCACACCCGAAUCUGGGCCUCCUCCAGGCCCUGCAGGACGCCCUCCUUUCCCGCCCUCUGUGGCUCCCUGGUCCCUGGGGGGGGGGGGGGGGAGGGGGUGAAGGGGGUGAGGGGGGUGAGGGGGGCGGGUGAGGGUCGGAGAGUCUCCCACCGUGGUGGCGGCCCCCAGAAGUCUGGGUGCCUCCGCCUCCUCUCAGCCCGGGGGUCCCUCCAUCCCCCGAACCAGAAGAUAAAGGCAACCCGGGGGGGGGGGGGGUGGCACCCGGCAGGGCCUGCCCCUGCCCCACCCACCCACCCUCCCUCCUGCCCCUGCCCCACCGCCCCUCCGACGGCCCGGCUCUCUGGCCCCCCAGCUCCGCCUUCUCCUAGCCCCCUCCCCCAGCCCCCCAGCCCCCCUCCUCCCCUCUCCUCCCAAGGUCGCCCCCCGCCACUAAUCUCCUUAUUCUUGCCGCGGGACUGCGCGGCCCCUUUAAGAGCGGCUGGGGCUGGGGCUGGGGGGUGGGCCUGGGGGUGGGGCAGGGUCCGGGGGUUGCGGGGGGGGGGGGGGCGGGGGCUGAGCAGAGCCGGGGAAAGAGCGCAGCCGCCCGCCAGUCCCUCCGCCCCUCCUCCCGGACGGACGCCCCUCCUCCCGGACGCCCUCCCGCCUGCCCUCCCUCCCUCCCGGCCGGCUUGGGGAGAGGGAGCGGGGCGGGGGAUCGGAGCCCCCGGAGCCGGGGAGCGGGGGCUGCGGCACAGGGGGGGUCCAGAGGGGUGGGGGUGGGGGUGGGCUCCCAUCCAUCUCUCCAUCCAUCCCUCCCUCCCUCCCUCCCUCCAUCCAUCCAUCCCUUCCUCCCUCCAUCCAUCCCUUCCUCCAUCCCUCCCUCCAUCCCUCCCUCCAUCCCUCCCUCCAUCCCUCCCUCCAUCCUUCCCCUCCCCCCCGCCGGCGGCCGGGGCCCUCCCCGCACUGCCGGACCCCGCCCCGGACCCGCCCCUCCACCCCUGGGAGCCCGGACGCCCGGGACCGCGGCCGGAGCCAGGUAAGGGAGGUGGGGAGCAACCCCGCCGAGACCCCCCGCCCCCUCCCCCGGACCCGCACAGCCGCUCGGCCGGGCCGGGGGGCGCCUCAAGGUGA